Homo sapiens (human) is the source of this 1001-nucleotide long non-coding RNA. RefSeq lists it as uncharacterized. The record is from RefSeq and is a predicted model, not a curated record. Lineage: Eukaryota; Metazoa; Chordata; Mammalia; Primates; Hominidae. The transcript is spliced from 2 exons.
AAAAAAACUAAAAGUGGCUUUUAGGCCAAAACGUAAGAACUAAAGCUAUAAAAUUUCUAGAGGAAACCUAGAAAAGAACAACUUUGUAACCCUGAAUUAGACAUGAAUUAUAAACAAGUAGGCUUUGAUACUUUUGACUUUAUGGAAAAACUUUUGCCUUUCAAAAUCCACAGUGGGUAAAAUAUUUGAGAUGUUUAAAAUAUAUAUAAUAUCUAUCUAUCAUCUGUCUAUUUGAUUGAGGAGCUGUAUCUAGAACAUACAAAGAACAUUUUCAACCUAUUAAUAAAAAGACAAUCUCAAAAAGAAACGAAAAUUUGAGAAGACACUUCACAAAAUACUAUAGUCAUAUCCCUCAGUAUCUGUGGGGUAUUAGUUCUAGGAUCUGCCAUGGAUACCAAAAUCUGGGAUGUUCAAGUCACUUAUAUAAAAUAAUGUCAUAUUUGUGUAUACCAUACUGUCAAUCUAAAUUAUUAGAAACGAUUAGAGCAAUAAAUUCUAAUACAGUGAUUUUAUUUGGGAGCAAGCAGAAACAAUUAUAAUCUAGGAUGUACAACAUUAGCAAGCCACGUAUGCAUCCAAAGAGGCAAGGAUAAAGAGAAUCUUUUUUUGGAAAAAGGAGAGGUCCAUGUAAGCUGCUUGGAAACAGAGUUCAUUGGUUCUGGAGGCUCAAAGCCAGAGUUGGCAUCAUUUCAUUGGUGAAGAUAUCAUCACUGAAGUGACACGAAGUAACAAGUAAAGAACAAUAUGAGAAGAGAGACCACUGAAGAAUGAAAAAACUUUGUAUUUUAUCUUUUUAACAGCACAUUUUUUUCAUGCUAUUUGAACAAGGGGCUGCACAUGAUAAUUUUGCCCUGGGCCCUGCAAUUUGGACUACUAGCCCUGAUUUGGGGGGACAUUUUUGUAAACUUAACAGUCUAUUUCCAUAGGCCUUAUAAAUUCUGUGAAGUACCUAAAAUUCCUUUAUUAAUCCCUUUCAUUUAAAAAUAAAUAGAGUGACAUCA